GGCGGACGGGUGAGUAAUGUCUGGGAAACUGCCUGAUGGAGGGGGAUAACUACUGGAAACGGUAGCUAAUACCGCAUAAUGUCGCAAGACCAAAGAGGGGGACCUUCGGGCCUCUUGCCAUCGGAUGUGCCCAGAUGGGAUUAGCUUGUUGGUGGGGUAACGGCUCACCAAGGCGACGAUCCCUAGCUGGUCUGAGAGGAUGACCAGCCACACUGGAACUGAGACACGGUCCAGACUCCUACGGGAGGCAGCAUG
Molecule: ribosomal RNA, 255 nt
Filed under: uncultured bacterium
Lineage: Bacteria
Description: partial 16S ribosomal RNA
Rfam family: Bacterial small subunit ribosomal RNA
Source: RNAcentral